GUCUAUGGCUAUACCACACUGAACGUGCCCGAUCUCGUCUGAUCUCGGAAGCUAAGCAGGGUCGGGCCUGGUUAGUACUUGGAUGGGAAAGAAAUGUUGUAAGCC
Molecule: ribosomal RNA, 105 nt
Filed under: Cavia porcellus (domestic guinea pig)
Lineage: Eukaryota; Metazoa; Chordata; Mammalia; Rodentia; Caviidae
Source: RNAcentral